GGGGAUUUAGCUCAGUGGUAGAGCACUUGCCUAGCAAGCACAAGGCAAUGGGUUCAGUCCCCA
Molecule: transfer RNA, 63 nt
Filed under: Rattus norvegicus (Norway rat)
Lineage: Eukaryota; Metazoa; Chordata; Mammalia; Rodentia; Muridae
Rfam family: tRNA
About the family: Transfer RNA (tRNA) molecules are approximately 80 nucleotides in length. Their secondary structure includes four short double-helical elements and three loops (D, anti-codon, and T loops).
Source: Rfam by way of RNAcentral